UAUAUAGCCAAUGAGUAGGACUUAGGGAUUACUAUCAGCAACUAGUAGCCAAGGUCCAUUGAGAACCCCAUUCCUUCUUGUGACCCUUUAACCAUACAUCUUUCUCCAUACAGGAGGCAUGCCCUUUCUGUGCCUGCAGAUUAUAUUUGGCCAUCUCAAAAGUACCAGCUUUGCUGUUUUGCCUGUGGCACACACUGAAUUGUCUAAGCCUGAAGACUGGAAAGAGGAAGGGCAGAGCAGAGUUAGCACCAGAACUGGGAAAAGCAGCCAAGCCCUGUCUCACAUGAAAAGGAUGAUCAGGACAGCUCAGCUGCUGCCUAAUGGACUCUCUGCAUAAGAGAUUAUUGACGAAGAACAGGUGAAAUGUCUCUUUACAGUAACACAUGCCUUGCUUUCCCGGUGGACAGCCAGAGAGCUAAUUAGGGAACACGACAGCUGUCCAGCCUUUCAGUGGAGGAUCAACAAUGUACCACCUCCUGAGUGCCAAAGGACCGGGAUGGAAGUAGGAGAAAAAGAGGGAGUGGAGUUAAGGGGCCAUAAUCCAAGGGGCUGAUUUAUUUCCCAAAGGGGACAUUUGGGUUUGUCAUGUUUUGCAGAAUGGAGGAAGGGGAAGAGAAAGGGGAGGUGUGGAUUGAUGAGAGUGCAGGAUGACAAAGCAAGGAAGUUGGGAGACUAAAGGCAGGAAAAAGGAGGAGAGGUAUUGAGGAGUUAGUGUCAUCUUGGUUCUCAGACUAAAAAGCAUAUGGUAGAAUGGAAGAGCCAGGUGUCUGAAGAAUGGGGGGAUGAGCAGUCAGCCAGGAAGGAGAAUGAUGAGGCAGAGUAGAGAGUCUGCUUCUCAUUCCCUGCAGACCUUCCCUCCUCCAGCUAAGAUCUCAUAGGGCCCAACAUUAUACAUUUGUAUUUCCUCUUAUCAUGCCACCAGAAGGGACCAACAGGAACAGAGACACUGUGCCCCUAGUGAAAAAUGUAUUUUUAGCUGGACCUGUCCAAUCUUAGCUUUUGUUAGUUAUAAAAUACAUGCAGCACUUUUUUUUUGUAAUACAGAACUGAAAACAACAUAGUAUUCCAUCAAUUAGGGAAUAGCUGAAUAAAUUGUGGCAUGUGAAUGUAAUGGAAUAUUAU
Molecule: long non-coding RNA, 1122 nt
Filed under: Vombatus ursinus (common wombat)
Lineage: Eukaryota; Metazoa; Chordata; Mammalia; Diprotodontia; Vombatidae
Description: lncRNA (ENSVURG00010023446.1)
Source: RNAcentral